AUUAAACGCUGGCGGCAUGCCUUACACAUGCAAGUCGAACGGUAGCGCGGGGCAACCUGGCGACGAGUGGCGAACGGGUGAGUAAAGCAUCGGAACGUGCCCUGGAAUGGGGGAUAACGUAGCGAAAGUUACGCUAAUACCGCAUAUUCUGUGAGCAGGAAAGCAGGGGAUCGCAAGACCUUGCGUUCUGGGAGCGGCCGAUGUCAGAUUAGCUAGUUGGUGGGGUAAAAGCCUACCAAGGCGACGAUCCGUAGCGGGUCUGAGAGGAUGAUCCGCCACACUGGGACUGAGACACGGCCCAGACUCCUACGGGAGGCAGCAGUGGGGAAUUUUGGACAAUGGGCGAAAGCCUGAUCCAGCCAUGCCGCGUGAGUGAAGAAGGCCU
This 385-nucleotide ribosomal RNA is filed under the name uncultured bacterium. RNAcentral's name for it is "bacterial SSU rRNA". It matches the Rfam family "Bacterial small subunit ribosomal RNA", at positions 29 to 417 of the family's 1533-position model. The record is from RNAcentral.